CCACAGAUCAGAGAGCUCUGCUGAACUUCCUAAAUGCCAGUGAGCCUGAGAUGCUGGAUGUGUGGGAGCUGGAGAGCUCUGAGCAUCCUGAGAGCUCAGCAGCUUCUGGGCUCAAAGGCUGCUAGGGAACUGUAGGAGGGAAGGGCAGCAGCAGAAGAAAUGAGGGGUUAAGAAAAGCAGGUUUUGCCAUCCUGCAGAAUGGCUUUGUGGGGACGUGGCUGGAAAUCAGCAGUGGUUGUUAGGUGCUUUAGGGGCAGGGAGUUUAUAGGGAUCUAAACGCCUUCCCAUACAUCCAAAAGGCCAGUGGAGGCAUCGUCACCUGAGAACAUCUUGAUGCCAAACCUGUGGAUAAUUCCCAGCUGGGAAUGCAGUCACACUUGUACAGAAGUGAGCAUGAGGGGAGAGGUGGUAAAUGUGUGACAUGAUCUCUCCCCCACCACCUGCCUGUCCUAGGGCACCAUUCUCCAUCCUGGGCCAAGCUGCUCCAUCAGUCUGACUGGUCAUUUGCUGCCAGGUCCCAGUGAAGUCCAUAGCUGAAUGUCUUGGGGCAUGUGUGGGGGCAAGACUGGAUGCGUAAAGUGAGCACUGUGUUCUACUCUUUGCAGGCUUCCUUGCUGUAUCCCACUGAAGGGGAUAAGAAGAAGGAAUCACUGGGACUGCCUUUGAUCCCCCCGAUACGCAGGGCAGUAAGUCCCGAUGUUAGCAGUGCUGCAGGGUCUCUGCAAAGCUCUCUGCAGCUGGAUGUGCAAGAGUCCCAGGAGAUGAGGUCCACACCCAGCAGCAGAAGUGAAGAUGAUGACUCUGAAGAAGGAGGCCUCCCACUGAGCCAAGCCAAGGGGACAGAUCGUCCCACCAGUCCUGGUCAUAUGAGUGAUGAAGACCUGAGGGACAGCUCUGGAAAGAUCCGUCCUGCAUUGUGCAAGUUGGCUCAAAAGAACUUAGAGCGGAAGAAAAUGGAGCUGUUGGAGAAAGAGCUCAAGAGAAGGAGACAAACAGAAACAUCCUUGCAGCUGCCUCCACAGACAGCUGACCCUGGGGAUGCAGAAGAAGCAAGCUUUAGCCUACCGCCUGUCGAUGGCACAGCUUCCAGUGUGCGGAGAAAAUACCCUGGUAGUGCCUUGAAGGAGAAGGUCUUGAGGAAGCAGAACAACAUGCCCUCACUGCCCAAUAUGCCCAUCAUCCAUGGGAUUGGCAGCUUCCCACGCAACUCCUCAGGUAAGCCUGCUCUGAGGCAGCUUUUUCCCACACGGGUUUUUCCUUGCCCAUGGGGCACAAACUGCCACCUGCCUCACCCAGCACAGCUGGGAUCUUGGGUCCAUAGCCUGUCCUGAGAAUGAACAGCAAAUGUACUUCUGAGUUAGUCCAGCUCUGCAGUAGUGGAGCAGUUGGUUCUUAGAGAUCCAUUGGGAAGUUGAGCUGAAUAAAGUAGUGGUAAAGGCCUAAGCUCUGGCUUUU
This is a long non-coding RNA of Cyanistes caeruleus (blue tit), 1455 nucleotides long. Ensembl lists it as uncharacterized. The record is from Ensembl. NCBI's taxonomy places the organism in Eukaryota, Metazoa, Chordata, Aves, Passeriformes, Paridae.